RNAcentral lists this ribosomal RNA (505 nucleotides) under uncultured Streptococcus sp. RNAcentral describes it as "bacterial SSU rRNA". It matches the Rfam family "Bacterial small subunit ribosomal RNA", at positions 8 to 495 of the family's 1533-position model. Lineage: Bacteria; Bacillati; Bacillota; Bacilli; Lactobacillales; Streptococcaceae. The record is from RNAcentral.
AGAGUUUGAUCCUGGCUCAGGACGAACGCUGGCGGCGUGCCUAAUACAUGCAAGUAGAACGCUGAAGAGAGGAGCUUGCUCUUCUUGGAUGAGUUGCGAACGGGUGAGUAACGCGUAGGUAACCUGCCUUGUAGCGGGGGAUAACUAUUGGAAACGAUAGCUAAUACCGCAUAACAGUGGAUGACACAUGUCAUUUAUUUGAAAGGGGCAAUUGCUCCACUACAAGAUGGACCUGCGUUGUAUUAGCUAGUAGGUGAGGUAACGGCUCACCUAAGCGACGAUACAUAGCCGACCUGAGAGGGUGAUCGGCCACACUGGGACUGAGACACGGCCCAGACUCCUACGGGAGGCAGCAGUAGGGAAUCUUCGGCAAUGGGGGCAACCCUGACCGAGCAACGCCGCGUGAGUGAAGAAGGUUUUCGGAUCGUAAAGCUCUGUUGUAAGUCAAGAACGAGUGUGAGAGUGGAAAGUUCACACUGUGACGGUAGCUUACCAGAAAGGGACG